CGAUCAGCUGACCCAUGCUCCAUAUCCGAUCAGCUGACCUGCCAUCAGCUGAUCGCUGAUGUCAGACGCCGCCGAAAGCACACGCUGACGAUAACUCCUGCUGCCACUCACCUACACCGGAGCUUGCUGGUGCCAGAAAGUUAAACCGCGAAAUGAGAUUGUUACGGUCAAGACGCCACCGGCCAGGGCGUUCUCCCGUCAACUCCUAUCAACUUGGACACAAGCUUUCUUUCACACCCAGCCAUUUCUGAGGAUUUCCCACCACAGAAGAACUGCAUCAAAGAACCGCAAGCACAUGACACGCAUAAAAAAAAACGCAACACACGUUUUGUCUAUGUGAACUGUAGUAUCAAUCAGCAUCUAGUCUGCGCAUAAUCAUCACCAUCCAAGCAUUAUCAUUCAACCUAGCCUUCAUAUCGAAGUAAAUACCAUCUUUGUCCUAUACAUGUGGCAUUUCACCUACCACAAACUUCAGGUCAUGCCAAGUGCAGACAAGAUGGCUACUCCGGCACCUCUUGUCGCAGACCUGAUGAUGAAUUAGAUCGCUUGAUGUGUAUUGGUAAAGAUCUUGUAAAUAAAGUUCUGUCCAAGAACAUGGCAAAGGCA
This is a long non-coding RNA of Hyla sarda, 606 nucleotides long. RefSeq lists it as uncharacterized. The transcript has 3 exons. The record is from RefSeq and is a predicted model, not a curated record. Lineage: Eukaryota; Metazoa; Chordata; Amphibia; Anura; Hylidae.